RNAcentral lists this unclassified non-coding RNA (298 nucleotides) under Hevea brasiliensis (rubber tree). Lineage: Eukaryota; Viridiplantae; Streptophyta; Magnoliopsida; Malpighiales; Euphorbiaceae. The record is from RNAcentral.
AUUUUCUCUUUGGUCUCCUUCAUUGAUGAUGAAUGCAACAAAUACAAGAAAUAGGUCUCCUUUCACUCCAACUCAGUGGCAAGAGCUUGAGCACCAGGCUCUCAUCUACAAAUACAUGGUCUCAGGUGUUCCUAUCCCACCUGAACUCAUCUAUUCUGUCAAAAGAAGCUUGGAGUCUUCUUUGGCUUCAAGACUCUUUCCUCACCAACCUAUAGGGUGGGGUUGUUUUCAGGUGGGUUUUGGCAGAAAAGCAGACCCAGAGCCAGGGAGGUGCAGAAGAACAGAUGGGAAGAAAUGG